GAUCCCGUCGCUCAACUGGAUAGCACAACUUCCUUCUAAGCAGUAGGUUGCGCGUUCGAGUCGCGCCGGGAUCA
This 74-nucleotide transfer RNA is filed under the name Bacteroidota bacterium. RNAcentral describes it as "Bacteroidetes bacterium tRNA-Arg". It matches the Rfam family "tRNA". From Rfam's summary of the family: Transfer RNA (tRNA) molecules are approximately 80 nucleotides in length. Their secondary structure includes four short double-helical elements and three loops (D, anti-codon, and T loops). Further hydrogen bonds mediate the characteristic L-shaped molecular structure. tRNAs have two regions of fundamental functional importance: the anti-codon, which is responsible for specific mRNA codon recognition, and the 3' end, to which the tRNAs corresponding amino acid is attached (by aminoacyl-tRNA synthetases). tRNAs cope with the degeneracy of the genetic code in two manners: having more than one tRNA (with a specific anti-codon) for a particular amino acid; and 'wobble' base-pairing, i.e. permitting non-standard base-pairing at the 3rd anti-codon position. The record is from RNAcentral. Lineage: Bacteria; Pseudomonadati; Bacteroidota.